Molecule: non-coding RNA, 72 nt
Organism: Dama dama (fallow deer)
Lineage: Eukaryota; Metazoa; Chordata; Mammalia; Artiodactyla; Cervidae
Source: the annotation of a RefSeq genome assembly
UCCCUGGUGGUCCAGUGGUUAGGACUCCAUGCUUUUAUUGCCAGGUUCCAGGUUCAAUCCCUGACCAGGGAA